AUUGAACGCUGGCGGCAGGCCUAACACAUGCAAGUCGAGCGGAUGAAGGGAGCUUGCUCCUGGAUUCAGCGGCGGACGGGUGAGUAAUGCCUAGGAAUCUGCCUGGUAGUGGGGGAUAACGUCCGGAAACGGGCGCUAAUACCGCAUACGUCCUGAGGGAGAAAGUGGGGGAUCUUCGGACCUCACGCUAUCAGAUGAGCCUAGGUCGGAUUAGCUAGUUGGUGGGGUAAAGGCCUACCAAGGCGACGAUCCGUAACUGGUCUGAGAGGAUGAUCAGUCACACUGGAACUGAGACACGGUCCAGACUCCUACGGGAGGCAGCAGUGGGGAAUAUUGGCCAAAGGGCGAAAUCCUGAUCCAGCCAUGCCGCGUGUGUGAAGAAGGUCUUCGGAUUGUAAAGCACUUUUAGUUGGGAGGAAGGGCAGUAAGUUAAUACCUUGCUGUUUUGACGUGACCAACAGAAUAAGCACCGGCUAACUUCGUG
This 484-nucleotide ribosomal RNA is filed under the name uncultured bacterium. RNAcentral's name for it is "partial 16S ribosomal RNA". It matches the Rfam family "Bacterial small subunit ribosomal RNA", at positions 30 to 507 of the family's 1533-position model. The record is from RNAcentral.